Molecule: ribosomal RNA, 423 nt
Filed under: uncultured eukaryote
Lineage: Eukaryota
Description: bacterial SSU rRNA
Rfam family: Eukaryotic small subunit ribosomal RNA
Source: RNAcentral
CAAUAGCGUAUAUUAAAGUUGUUGCAGUUAAAAGCUCGUAGUUGGACUUCUGGUUUGGGUGGUGGUCCGCCUAACGGUGUGCACUGUUGCCUUGAGCCUUCUUCCUGUAGUCUCAUUGUGCACUUAAUUGUGUGCUUUGGUGAAUAUGGGACCUUUACUUUGAAAAAUUAGAGUGUUCAAAGCAGGCCUUCGCUUGAAUACAUUAGCAUGGAAUAAUAGAAUAGGACUUUGGUUCUAUUUUGUUGGUUUCUAGGACCGAAGUAAUGAUUAAUAGGGACGGUUGGGGCGAUUAGUAUUUAAUUGUCAGAGGUGAAAUUACUUGGAUUUAUUGAAAGACUAACUACUGCGAAAGCAUUUGCCAAGGAUGUUUUCUAUUAAUCAAGAACGAAAGUUAAGGGGUAGUCGAAGAUGAUCAGAUACCAU